GACGAACGCUGGCGGCGUGCCUAAUACAUGCAAGUCGAGCGAUGAUUAAAGAUAGCUUGCUACUUUUAUGAAGAGCGGCGAACGGGUGAGUAACGCGUGGGAAAUCUGCCGAGUAGCGGGGGACAACGUUUGGAAACGAACGCUAAUACCGCAUAACAAUGAGAAUCGCAUGAUUCUUAUUUAAAAGAAGCAAUUGCUUCACUACUUGAUGAUCCCGCGUUGUAUUAGCUAGUUGGUAGUGUAAAGGACUACCAAGGCGAUGAUACAUAGCCGACCUGAGAGGGUGAUCGGCCACACUGGGACUGAGACACGGCCCAGACUCCUACGGGAGGCAGCAGUAGGGAAUCUUCGGCAAUGGGGGCAACCCUGACCGAGCAACGCCGCGUGAGUGAAGAAGGUUUUCGGAUCGUAAAACUCUGUUGUUAGAGAAGAACGUUAAGUAGAGUGGAAAAUUACUUAAGUGACGGUAUCUAACCAGAAAGGGACGGCUAACUACGUGCCAGCAGCCGCGGUAA
RNAcentral lists this ribosomal RNA (515 nucleotides) under uncultured bacterium. RNAcentral describes it as "partial 16S ribosomal RNA". It matches the Rfam family "Bacterial small subunit ribosomal RNA", at positions 28 to 523 of the family's 1533-position model. The record is from RNAcentral.